Molecule: ribosomal RNA, 406 nt
Filed under: uncultured bacterium
Lineage: Bacteria
Description: partial 16S ribosomal RNA
Rfam family: Bacterial small subunit ribosomal RNA
Source: RNAcentral
AUUGAACGCUGGCGGCAGGCCUAACACAUGCAAGUCGAACGAGUGGCGGAAGUGUGAGUAAUGUCUGGGAAACUGCCUGAUGGAGGGGGAUAACUACUGGAAAAGGUAGCUAAUACCGCAUACCAUCGGAUGUGCCCAGAUGGGAUGAGCUAGGAGGUGGGGUAAAGGCUCACCUAGGCGACGAUCCCUAGCUGGUCUGAGAGGAUGACCAGCCACACGGGAACUGAGCAACGGGCCAGACUCCUACGGGAGGCAGAAGUGGGGAAUAUUGCACAAUGGGCGCAAGCCUGAUGUAGCCAUGCCGCUUGUAUGAAGAAGGCCUUCGGGUUGUAAAGUACUUUCAGCGGGGAGGCGUUACCCGCACAAGAAGCACCGGCUAACUCCGUGCCAGCAGCCGCGGUAAUUC